GUCUACGACCAUGCCACCCUGAAUGUGCCGAAGCCUGUCUGAUCUCGGAAGCUAAGCAGGGUUGGGCCACCUAGGAAGACCAGGUGCUGUAGGUG
RNAcentral lists this ribosomal RNA (95 nucleotides) under Pteropus alecto (black flying fox). The record is from RNAcentral. Lineage: Eukaryota; Metazoa; Chordata; Mammalia; Chiroptera; Pteropodidae.